This 468-nucleotide ribosomal RNA is filed under the name uncultured bacterium. Its description in RNAcentral is "partial 16S ribosomal RNA". It matches the Rfam family "Bacterial small subunit ribosomal RNA", at positions 28 to 507 of the family's 1533-position model. The record is from RNAcentral.
GACGAACGCUGGCGGCGUGCUUAACACAUGCCAGUCGAACGGAAAGGCCCUGCUUUUGUGGGGUGCUCGAGUGGCGAACGGGUGAGUAACACGUGAGUAACCUGCCCUUGACUUUGGGAUAACUUCAGGAAACUGGGGCUAAUACCGGAUAGGAGCUCCUGCUGCAUGGUGGGGGUUGGAAAGUUUCGGCGGUUGGGGAUGGACUCGCGGCUUAUCAGCUUGUUGGUGGGGUAGUGGCUUACCAAGGCUUUGACAGGUAGCCGGCCUGAGAGGGUGACCGGCCACAUUGGGACGGAGAUACGGCCCAGACUCCUACGGGAGGCAGCAGUGGGGAAUAUUGCACAAUGGGCGGAAGCCUGAUGCAGCAACGCCGCGUGCGGGAUGACGGCCUUCGGGUUGUAAACCGCUUUCGCCUGUGACGAAGCGUGAGUGACGGUAAUGGGUAAAGAAGCACCGGCUAACUACGUG